AGUGAACGCUGGCGGUAGGCCUAACACAUGCAAGUCGAACGGCAGCACAGUAUGAGCUUGCUCUUACGGGUGGCGAGUGGCGGACGGGUGAGGAAUACAUCGGAAUCUACUUUUUCGUGGGGGAUAACGUAGGGAAACUUACGCUAAUACCGCAUACGACCUACGGGUGAAAGCAGGGGAUCUUCGGACCUUGCGCGAUUGAAUGAGCCGAUGUCGGAUUAGCUAGUUGGCGGGGUAAAGGCCCACCAAGGCGACGAUCCGUAGCUGGUCUGAGAGGAUGAUCAGCCACACUGGAACUGAGACGCGGUCCAGACUCCUACGGGAGGCAGCAGUGGGGAAUAUUGGACAAUGGGCGCAAGCCUGAUCCAGCCAUACCGCGUGGGUGAAGAAGGCCUUCGGGUUGUAAAGCCCUUUUGUUGGGAAAGAAAAGCAGCAGGUUAAUACCCCGCUGUUCUGACGGUACCCAAAGAAUAAGCACCGGCUAACUUCGUG
RNAcentral lists this ribosomal RNA (492 nucleotides) under uncultured bacterium. RNAcentral's name for it is "partial 16S ribosomal RNA". It matches the Rfam family "Bacterial small subunit ribosomal RNA", at positions 29 to 507 of the family's 1533-position model. The record is from RNAcentral.